Molecule: ribosomal RNA, 253 nt
Filed under: uncultured bacterium
Lineage: Bacteria
Description: partial 16S ribosomal RNA
Rfam family: Bacterial small subunit ribosomal RNA
Source: RNAcentral
UACGGGGGGGGCAAGCGUUGUUCGGAAUUACUGGGCGUAAAGGGCUCGUAGGCGGCCAACUAAGUCAGACGUGAAAUCCCUCGGCUUAACCGGGGAACUGCAUCUGAUACUGGAUGGCUUGAGAUUGGGAGAGGGAUGCGGAAUUCCAGGUGUAGCGGUGAAAUGCGUAGAUAUCUGGAGGAACACCGGUGGCGAAGGCGGCAUCCUGGACCGACACUGACGCUGAGGCGCGAAAGCUAGGGUAGCAAACGGG